AAAUUGAAGAGUUUGAUCAUGGCUCAGAUUGAACGCUGGCGGCAGGCCUAACACAUGCAAGUCGAGCGGAAACGAGUUAUCUGAACCUUCGGGGGACGAUAAYGGCGUCGAGCGGCGGACGGGUGAGUAAUGCCUAGGAAAUUGCCCUGAUGUGGGGGAUAACCAUUGGAAACGAUGGCUAAUACCGCAUGAUGCCUACGGGCCAAAGAGGGGGACCUUCGGGCCUCUCGCGUCAGGAUAUGCC
This 244-nucleotide ribosomal RNA is filed under the name Vibrio parahaemolyticus. RNAcentral's name for it is "partial 16S ribosomal RNA". It matches the Rfam family "Bacterial small subunit ribosomal RNA", at positions 1 to 231 of the family's 1533-position model. The record is from RNAcentral. Lineage: Bacteria; Pseudomonadati; Pseudomonadota; Gammaproteobacteria; Vibrionales; Vibrionaceae.